RNAcentral lists this long non-coding RNA (569 nucleotides) under Carica papaya (papaya). Its description in RNAcentral is "long non-coding RNA (CPAP_LNC000851)". Lineage: Eukaryota; Viridiplantae; Streptophyta; Magnoliopsida; Brassicales; Caricaceae. The record is from RNAcentral.
UAUGUAUAUAUUCAUGUGAAAAUCCACUACAUGUUAUACUGAGUAAAGUGCAUAUAUAUGUUUCUAAAAGAUAAACUGUGAUGCUGAUAAAGAAAGGGCAAGUUGUAAAAAUUGCAAAUGGUGUACAAAAGGUAAAAAAUGCAUAAUGCACCUCUUGUGUUUGUUUUUGUUGAUACAAGAGUCGCUUUAGGGACUAUGAGUGUGCACUUGCAUUUAUUAUAUGCAGAAUGCAUAGCUCUAAUCUACCGUAAUCAUCACUCUAGCUUAAUGAUUACGCAGAUUGGAAGUUUCAUCUUUAAGACUUUAUGUCAACUAUAAUUAAAAUCCAGACUACACGAUCUUGUUUUUUGAUUAAUGACCCGAGCUUGAUCACCACUUUCAAUUGGAAUCUGGAUGCGUGUGCCAUCUUCCACCGCCUAGUGCACAAAUCCCUACAGUGUUGGCGGCAGCAUCUGCAGAGGCUCUGAGUAUGGAGGUUGUGGAUGAUAAGACUCUCUAACUAGUCGUCAUUUGUUCAGGUUAUGUGGUGGGCAUGCAUUAAAAGCUCUCAUCAAAAGUGUUUGCUAUUG